RNAcentral lists this ribosomal RNA (468 nucleotides) under uncultured bacterium. Its description in RNAcentral is "partial 16S ribosomal RNA". It matches the Rfam family "Bacterial small subunit ribosomal RNA", at positions 28 to 507 of the family's 1533-position model. The record is from RNAcentral.
GACGAACGCUGGCGGCGUGCUUAACACAUGCAAGUCGAACGGAAAGGCCCUGCUUUUGUGGGGUGCUCGAGUGGCGAACGGGAGAGUAACACGAGAGUAACCUGACCUUGACUUUGGGAUAACUUCAGGAAACUGAGGCUAAUCCCGGAUAGGAGCUCCUGCUGCUUGGUCGGGGUUGGACAGUUUCGGCGGUUGGGGCUGGACUCGCGGCUUAUCAGCUUGUUGGUGGGGUAGUGGCUUACCAAGGCUUUGACGGGUAGCCGGCCUGAGAGGGUGGCCGGCCACAUUGGGACUGAGAUACGGCCCAGACUCCUACGGGAGGCAGCAGUGGGGAAUAUUGCACAAUGGGCGGAAGCCUGAUGCAGCAGCGCCGCGUGCGGGAUGACGGCCUUCGGGUUGUAAACCGCUUUCGCCUGUGACGAAGCGGGAGUGACGGUAAUGGGAAAAGAAGCACCGGCUAACUACGUG